AGUGAACGCUGGCGGUAGGCCUAACACAUGCAAGUCGAACGGCAGCACAGUAAGAGCUUGCUCUUACGGGUGGCGAGUGGCGGACGGGUGAGGAAUACAUCGGAAUCUACUUUUUCGUGGGGGAUAACGUAGGGAAACUUACGCUAAUACCGCAUACGACCUACGGGUGAAAGCAGGGGAUCUUCGGACCUUGCGCGAUUGAAUGAGCCGAUGUCGGAUUAGCUAGUUGGCGGGGUAAAGGCCCACCAAGGCGACGAUCCGUAGCUGGUCUGAGAGGAUGGAUAGCCACAAUGGAAAUGGAGAAAGGUCCCAGCUCCUAAGGGAAGGAGCAGUGGGGAAAAAUGGGAAAAGGGGGGAAACCUUGUCCAGGCAUACCGCGUGGGUGAAGAAGGCCUUCGGGUUGUAAAGCCCUUUUGUUGGGAAAGAAAAGCAGCAGGUUAAUACCCCGCUGUUCUGACGGUACCCAAAGAAUAAGCACCGGCUAACUUCGUG
This 492-nucleotide ribosomal RNA is filed under the name uncultured bacterium. RNAcentral's name for it is "partial 16S ribosomal RNA". It matches the Rfam family "Bacterial small subunit ribosomal RNA", at positions 29 to 507 of the family's 1533-position model. The record is from RNAcentral.